AUCAUAACUCCGCCUGUAGCACCUCCGGGGGCUACUGCCGGUCCCAAGCCCGGAUAAAGGAGAAGGGUUGGG
Molecule: non-coding RNA, 72 nt
Filed under: Schistosoma mansoni
Lineage: Eukaryota; Metazoa; Platyhelminthes; Trematoda; Strigeidida; Schistosomatidae
Source: RNAcentral